Molecule: ribosomal RNA, 459 nt
Filed under: uncultured bacterium
Lineage: Bacteria
Description: partial 16S ribosomal RNA
Rfam family: Bacterial small subunit ribosomal RNA
Source: RNAcentral
CCUACGGGUGGCAGCAGUGAGGAAUAUUGGUCAAUGGCCGGGAGGCUGAACCAGCCAAGUCGCGUGAGGGAAGACGGCCCUACGGGUUGUAAACCUCUUUUGUCAGGGAGCAAGGUGCAGGUCGGGACCUGCUGUGAGAGUACCUGAAGAAAAAGCAUCGGCUAACUCCGUGCCAGCAGCCGCGGUAAUACGGAGGAUGCGAGCGUUAUCCGGCUUUAUUGGGUUUAAAGGGUGCGCAGGUGGAGGCACAAGUCAGCGGUAAAAUCGCGGGGCUCAACCCCGCUCCGCCGUUGAAACUGUGUGCCUUGAGUGCGCGAAGGGUAGGCGGAAUGCGUGGUGUAGCGGUGAAAUGCAUAGAUAUCACGCAGAACUCCGAUCGCGAAGGCAGCCUACCGGCGCGCAACUGACGCUCAUGCACGAAAGCGUGGGUAUCGAAUAGGAUUAGAUACCCUGGUAGUC